RNAcentral lists this ribosomal RNA (253 nucleotides) under uncultured bacterium. RNAcentral describes it as "partial 16S ribosomal RNA". It matches the Rfam family "Bacterial small subunit ribosomal RNA", at positions 524 to 776 of the family's 1533-position model. The record is from RNAcentral.
UACGUAGGGUGCAAGCGUUGUCCGGAAUUAUUGGGCGUAAAGAGCUCGUAGGCGGCUUGUUGCGUCAGCUGUGAAAACCCGCAGCUCAACUGUGGGCUUGCAGCUGAUACGGGCAGGCUUGAGUUCGGUAGGGGAGACUGGAAUUCCUGGUGUAGCGGUGAAAUGCGCAGAUAUCAGGAGGAACACCGGUGGCGAAGGCGGGACUCUGGGCCGAUACUGACGCUGAGGAGCGAAAGCGUGGGGAGCGAACAGG